UAACAGGAGCAUAUUAACUUACCAAGAGUGCAUUUUGUCAUCGGGACUUCUCCAAGUACACCACUACCUGAGACACCAGCUGUCGCUAUCGAUUCAACAAGUGUGAACAUCAGCCAAAAUGGGUUGUCAACAGUUGUUAAAGGAGGAGUUAUUAUAACAACGAUAAUUUGCCUCACUAAAUAUUUGACAAGAAAAGACGAUAAGGGGGAAUAGUGACAGUGGUGAUUUGGCAACUGACAACGGCAAAGGCGAUGGCGACGUGGUCACGACAAUAUAAUUUUCACUGUAAGACAAAAGGAAACUAUAAAUUGUAUUCCAUUGAACAUCGUAGUUUGCCGUAGUUGUUCAAACUACUAUAAAUAAUUUACUUCUUUUUUGGGCUCAUAACUACGCCAAAAGUUAAACCGUUCGAAAUGGUAGCUAGGGGUGUUUUAUAUGAAUUCACUGAAUAUUGCUACUGAAAUCUAUGAAACAGGCCUAACAAGUUUAAAGUUUCAGUAUUGGUUAACUUGUAUUCGUAGUUUUAAAAUCUACUCGUUUCUCAAUUUCAGUAAAUUUUACUGACUAGUACUUUUAUUCGUAACUAUAUUUUGUGUAAUAUAUCUACUUUUCUAUCUUUGAAUGUAACUUUGAUGUUAAUCUAUCUUAAUUAAUCAUGCAUGGAAUAGGCCGUUUGCUGUGACCUCGAAAAGUGCCUAGAAAACGAUUUUCAUUAAGCAUGUCUUGGAACUAAAAUUUUUUAUGGGAACUAGCAUUUUCGAACACGCUGAGUUCAAAUCCGAAAACUUCCCGCACGGCAGACCCGAAGUUUUCUCACAAACUACUUUUUUAUCUUCGCUAAUUUCACAACAAAUUUUUUCAUUGUUCAAUGACACGGAUGGAUGGAGACGCACGAUUGCAUAACUCAAAAUGACUAAUACCUAUGAACCAGUUUCUACAUUGAACAAAAGACCGGUUUUGCUCGAAUUAUUUUGAGUUAUGUAAUUUUAAGCGUGUUGGACGUAAACAACAUAUCUUGUCUACAACUUUGGGAAGGUACCGAUAUCGCUUUGUAAAAUCCUCAGUUCAGGCUGUAUCUCCAUAAAAUCGACAAUAUUUUACUUUAGCGUUGUCUUUGCCGUUACGUUGGCUUCGCAUUACUUUUGUUUUAAAUACCUUGAUCGCGUUAAAUUAGGUCUAUUUCAGAACAGUGAUAUAGCCAAAAGACUAUAGCAUUAACGUCCUUGUGAUUUUACAGAGAUAUCGCUAGAACUGAGGAUUUUAGAAGGCGUUAUCUGUUUCUUCUCAAAGUUGUAGACAAGAUAUGUUGUUUACGUGCAACACGUGUAAGAUUACAUAACUCAAAAUAAUCCGGGCAAAACCGGUCUUUUGUUAAAAGGAAGACUGGUUUAAUCGUGCGGCGUCAUCGAUCCGUGUCCUUGUGAAAUUAGCGAAGAUAAAAUAGCGUUUUGUGAGAAAACUGCGGGUUUACGGCGCGGGAAGUUUUCGGAUUCGAACCCAGCUUGCUUGAAAGUGUUAGUUUUCGUAAAUAUAUUUUAGUUCCACAUAAUGAUGAAAGUGAACGAUAUCAGGACGCAGCGAACGGUCUAGAAAACACUUUCAAUUGAUACAUGUUAAUAAUAAUAAUUAAUACUAAUAAUAAUAGCAGAAACAUAUCGAAACAAGAAAAGUAAUUACGGAAAAUUUAUAUAUAUAUAUAUAUAUAUAUAUAUAUAUAUAUAUAUAUAUAUAUAUAUAUAGGUUGAGGUAAAGCCGUGCAAUGCAGCCACCUGCUCCGCGGUCCCUAAAUGAUGGUAUUUAUAGGAUACCAGUUUGUUUGUAAACUGAAAAAAUCAGUAAUAAAUCAUGAAUUCUCUUGAUUUAGAUAACAGUUUCUCAAUGAAAAUAGCUCUUUUGAAUAAAUUGUCUACAGGUUAUCAAACAAUUUUAUUUAGACUGGCUUUGUUUUGGCACUGGGGCACUUGUUUUGUCUGAAAUUGAUAUUGAAUAUAUAAAAAUGUCAAUUUUUAGCAAUGUUCGAAGAACUGAUUUAAGGUGACUCCCUAGAGAUUUAUCCCCGGGGCCCGGGGGUUAUGUUUUUG
Molecule: non-coding RNA, 2081 nt
Organism: Paramuricea clavata
Lineage: Eukaryota; Metazoa; Cnidaria; Anthozoa; Malacalcyonacea; Plexauridae
Source: the annotation of a GenBank genome assembly